GGAGUAGUGGAAAUGGGUGAAGUGGAAAGACCUCUUUCCAAUGUGGAUAUGGCGGUCUUUCCACUUCUACCCAUUUCCGCUACUUC
Molecule: microRNA precursor, 86 nt
Filed under: Picea abies (Norway spruce)
Lineage: Eukaryota; Viridiplantae; Streptophyta; Pinopsida; Pinales; Pinaceae
Description: miR482u stem-loop (pab-MIR482u)
Gene: pab-MIR482u
Source: miRBase by way of RNAcentral